UGCGGCAACAUUGAUGCCUUGAGGUGGCCUGUGUGGGUUUAUUGACCGGUUGCGUUCACCGAUUGCCUUCGGUUGCCUGAGGGUGAAUAUGAAUGAAGCAAUAGCUUCAAACAUUUAUCAGUAGUGAUGGCGAACGGCAGGCUUUAAAAAAAGCUUCGUUACUUGAUUAUUUAUACAGAAUUUUUUUAAUUUGAAAAGAGCUAGAAGAAACGCUGCGCUACAGCUGCUAUUCUUGGUCUAUGUAAAGAUGUUUUUUUUACUUCCUUUUGCGGCUUACACGAGUUAAAAUCCUUGACUGAUCGAUGGGUUUUCUAUCAUUGUAAUGUACUCACCAUGUUGAUGCACACUGUAACGUGACACAUCAUAUCGAAAGGGGAAUGAAAACGAACAAGAUCCCAAAAACAACGCAAAGGAAAAAAAGCAACGAUAAGGAGGUGCAUGACAUCACACUUUCUUUUUCUCUCUGUCGCGUUCGCGCAAAAACUGUUAUGGCAGCAAACGAAGUUGUCCAGUUAUUAUUCCGACCCAUAAUUACAGAUGUAUUUUUAGAGAAGCAAUGUCUGAUUAGUUAUUCCAUUUAGGUGCUGCAUACUGCGUUAUGAGUGACUUCUUUGCUUGCUAUUAGUUAACGCGGCUUAGAAUAUAAUUAUCAAUGCCCUUUAAUAUUCUUGAACCGUUAUGACUGUAAUAAUUUAUUUCUCGUAAUCCGCUGCUGGGUUAUAUAUGGAUGUGAUAUAUUCAGUCAAAAAUGAUUUCCACGCUUCUGUCAUCUAGGCACUAGACAUUCUAACUGAACUAUGUACUUAAAAUUCUAUAAGGAUGCAAUAGGUUCCUGAAGUAAUGGAUGUACCGCUACAACAAAAUGCAGAAGAAAACUAGGAAUGCAAACUGCAAUUUAUAUAUCCUAAUAAGCACACCCCGAGUUUUUGGGCUUAGAAGAGAUGGC
RNAcentral lists this long non-coding RNA (946 nucleotides) under Dermacentor andersoni. RNAcentral describes it as "uncharacterized LOC126534161". The record is from RNAcentral. Lineage: Eukaryota; Metazoa; Arthropoda; Arachnida; Ixodida; Ixodidae.